GAGUUUGAUCCUGGCUCAGAACGAACGCUGACGGCGUGGCUAAGACAUGCAAGUCGAACGAACUUUCUGAUUGAGUAAUCGAGAUGAAAGUUAGUGGCGAAAGGGUGAGUAAUGCGUAGGUAACGUACCCCGAACUUCGGAAUAGCUGCGGUUUUCGGACCUUUAGCGAAAGUGCAGGUAAUACCGGAUGUGAUCCUGAAAACUAUGUUUUUUGGGAUUAAAGACUUCGGUCGGUUUGGGAGCGGCCUACGUCGUAUCAGCUUGUUGGUGAGGUAACGGCUCACCAAGGCUUCGGCGCGUAGCGGGACUGAGAGGUUGACCCGCCACAUUGGGACUGAGACACUGCCCAGACCCCCACGGGGGGCUGCAGUAACGAAUAUUGCGCAAUGGACGAAAGUCUGACGCAGCGACGCCGUGUGAAGGAUGAAGCCCCUCGGGGUGUAAACUCCUGUCAGGGUGAAGAAAGGCUUCGGCUUGAUCUAACCCAAAGGAAGGACCGGCUAACUUCGUGCCAGCAGCCGCGGUAAUACGAAGGGUCCAAGCGUUGUUCGGAAUUACUGGGCUUAAAGCGCACGUAGGCGGAAUAGUAAGUGUCUUGUGAAAUCCCACGGCUCAACCGUGGAAUUGCUCGGCAAACUGCUAUUCUUGAGGCAGAUAGGGGUGCAUGGAACUCUGAGUGGAGCGGUGAAAUGCGUAGAUAUUCAGAGGAACGCCAGCGGAGAAAUCGGUGCACUGGGUCUGUUCUGACGCUGAGGUGCGAAAGCGUGGGGAGCGAACGGGAUUAGAUACCCCGGUAGUCCACGCCGUAAACGAUGUCUACUGGGUUGCGGAGGUUCUGACGCCGUCGCAGCCGAAGCAAAAGUGUUAAGUAGACCGCCUGGGGAGUACGGUCGCAAGGCUAAAACUCAAAGGAAUUGACGGGGGCUCACACAAGCGGUGGAGCAUGUGGCUUAAUUCGAAGCAACGCGAAGAACCUUAUCCUGGGUUUGACAUGAUUGGAUGCCCUUGGUGAAAGCCAAGUAAGCUGCCUUCGGGUGAAACUUUCACAGGUGCUGCAUGGCUGUCGUCAGCUCGUGUCGUGAGAUGUCGGGUUAAGUCCCUUAACGAGCGAAACCCUUACCGUUAGUUGCCAGCGAGUAAUGUCGGGGACUCUAGCGGGACUGCCGGUGUUAAACCGGAGGAAGGUGGGGAUGACGUCAAGUCCUCAUGGCCUUUAUGCCCAGGGCUGCACACGUGCUACAAUGGUGCGGACAAACCGACGCAAGACCGCGAGGUGGAGCAAAUCGGAAAAACCGUGCCUCAGUUCGGAUUGUAGGCUGCAACUCGCCUACAUGAAGUUGGAAUCGCUAGUAAUCGCAGAUCAGCUAUGCUGCGGUGAAUAUGUUCCUGAGCCUUGUACACACCGCCCGUCAAGUCACGGAAGCUGGGAGCACUUGAAGUCGGGUAGCUAACUUUUAUUAGAAGCGCCUGCCGAUGGUGAGCUCGGUGACUGGGGCUAAGUCGUAACAAGGUA
Molecule: ribosomal RNA, 1513 nt
Filed under: metagenome
Description: bacterial SSU rRNA
Rfam family: Bacterial small subunit ribosomal RNA
Source: RNAcentral